Taeniopygia guttata (zebra finch) is the source of this 1752-nucleotide non-coding RNA. The record is from RefSeq and is a predicted model, not a curated record. NCBI's taxonomy places the organism in Eukaryota, Metazoa, Chordata, Aves, Passeriformes, Estrildidae.
UAUGUUGGAUUUCUUGUAAAAAUGGGAAAUAGCUUGAAAAUAUUCAUGAGGAACUAAAAAUUGUUCUGAUGAGUUCACUUCCCCUGCAUAUGAAGAGCAGUUUCACAGUGAUGUUUUAUAGAGAUGUCUGGGCCUGAAUUUUUUCUGAUUUUACUGUUCAAGCCUUGCCUUUGUAUCUCAAGUGUUUUGUCCUGGAAUCUCACCGUGAUUCCUGAAGCUGUGCCUCGCAGGGAGGGUAAUGGAGACAAGUGGCUUGUGAGGAAGCUCAGGCCCAGGUCCCUGAGGUGUUUGGAUUUUAGGACUCAGAGCCUGGUGCAGAUUGAAGAGUGAUGUAAUUCUUCAGGCGCCGCUGAAAGAGUUUGAAACACCAAUGCAAUAAGAGGCGUCAGCGGGGAAUGGCAGAUUGAUUGCAACAACUAAUGCCAAAAAGUUCUGGAAAGAAGAAAAAUGUAGUCUGAUGAAAAGAAAUAAAGAAGAAAGGAGGGAAAGGAUAGUAAGAGCUUUCACGCCUCCGGCAACCUCCCUGUGGAUCGAUGUGCAUCGGGGACUAUUAAUCCUAUGACUGUUUUUUUACACUGGUGUGUAAACCUUGAUGAUGCCGUUCAGUCCAGAUCAGCAGGUUGGAUUGACAGGAUCUACCCUAAAAAUCAACUUUACUGAAAUUUGAGUGGAUUGAUGAAGCUCGUCUUUUGGAUCAGUGGAAGGCCACCACCUCCAGAUGAGAGAUCGCCCAUCAAUUUAGGGUAGGAAGGACCAUUCUCUCCUGAAGUGAUUAUUACUUCCUCAGAUAUGGAGCACAGACUGGACACAUGGUGUUGGUGUGGCUGAAGCAAUAUAGGCAACAUGGACUUCCAUGAACUUGGGAUGACAGGUACAAACCCAGGACUGGCAAUAGGUCAGAACACAACAAGGCUACAAUGGGGAGUGCUCACAGCAAGUUUGGAUCAUGAAAUAUAAAGCCCUCCUGCAGAGACAAGGCAGAUGGAAUAGCUGUGCUUUUUGUAAUAAAACACAUCAUCCGAUUCACAUUUCUAUCAUCAGGCUGUUUUUUGGUUUCGUUUGUAAUUUGCAUUAAACAUCCUGAGUUGAGCCUGGAUUUCAUUGACGUAAAUAGACUAAUUUUUUUAAUGACCUUCACCUGCUGGUUAUAUACCAGUCUCUUAGGUCCAAAAGGGAUUUGAGGAUAAAGGAAAAUAUAAAACCAAAGCAAAUCAAAAGAACAAGCCUAACUGGAUUAAAAUAAAUAAGCCUAUAUAUACUGUCCUCAAUUAUUGACAACUCUUUGGAUUGUUACUUCUGAAUUGAAGUUGACAUGCCUGCAUUUGAUGCACUAAAGCAGUUUAAAGCUGAUACAGAAAUUUAGGGGCUCAACUCCUUUCUUAACAUAAAACUAGAGUGUUUUGAUAUGUUGGAACUGGGGCAAUUAGUAAUGAUACAUUUGCUGACAGGUCUUGAGCAGGAACAAUCACAAACACUGUGCACCCAGUACAAGAUUUAUUUGUCAGAGUGCAUGCUUUUUAAAUCUGAGUAAAAAUGGAUUUUGUAAACUGAUUGAGAUUAAUUAAAGGUAUAACUCAGGGAAGGAAAAAAAAUGACUCACUGCACAUUUAUUUUCAGAUCAUUUUUCACUGGAAAGUUUGCAGGUCUAACGAGCAGAAGCUACUGACACAGUGUGCAAAUGGUUCUGCUUUCACAUCACAGGAGAGGGAUUUUUUUCUCAUUUUUCUUUCCUUGGCUUGUCUGAAAGCCAGG